AACAAGGCGUACCUGCGGACCUGCGGAAGGAUCAUUACAAGAAUCGAGGCUGACGGUGCCUACUCCCUAGGCUCCGUCCAGUCCCGCUCUCUACCUUGCCUACUGCACCGUUUGUUGCUUCCUGGCGGCGUCCCGUCGCCAGGGCCUUUUGAAAGCCAAGUAUAAGCAUUGAAACUUCUGACAUACACUAAAUCGUACAACUUUUAGCAAUGGAUCU
Molecule: unclassified non-coding RNA, 217 nt
Filed under: soil metagenome
Description: partial contains 5.8S ribosomal RNA, internal transcribed spacer 2, and large subunit ribosomal RNA
Source: RNAcentral